This 30-nucleotide small RNA is filed under the name Bombyx mori (domestic silkworm). RNAcentral describes it as "piRNA piR-bmo-1464696". Lineage: Eukaryota; Metazoa; Arthropoda; Insecta; Lepidoptera; Bombycidae. The record is from RNAcentral.
UAAACGGAUGCGAUGACGACCGGCUGGCGU